This is a long non-coding RNA of Ailuropoda melanoleuca (giant panda), 576 nucleotides long. RefSeq lists it as uncharacterized. Lineage: Eukaryota; Metazoa; Chordata; Mammalia; Carnivora; Ursidae. The transcript is spliced from 2 exons. The record is from RefSeq and is a predicted model, not a curated record.
GUUCCACAAAAUUACAGCACUCCUUAAAAAUUCCUGCCAGUCCUCUCGGCCACACUCUAGACCCGCUGAUGUGAUGCACCCUGGGAACACAUUAUUUCCACAGGACUCCCGUGCAUUCCAGAAAAAUGCACACCAGACGCACCCAACUGAGGGACGUUUUAUACAACGAGGGACGAAGACUUCUCCAAAUAUCCGGAGAAGGAGGAACUGUCACGGAUGGGUGGAAGCCAAGACACAGCAAAGAAUGAGCGAGAGUUGGUCACAAAGCAGCAGCCUGACGAAGCCGACACCGGGGACACGCCAAAACGGCAGCGCUGCGUCCUUCGUCCCGCGGGCGGGGAGCCAGACCCGGUCGGACGUGCGGCCGCGGUGGGAGCUCGCGGAGGCCCCUGCCCCUGCGCCGCCUGCCUUGGCUUCAGCCAGUCCGAGCGGGAGUGGCCGCAGUCGCGGUCACAGCUGGGUGUGGUCGGCUGCGGGGGCACACACGUGCGGUGGAUCGUCGACAUAACCCGGUUUCUGCACCGGGUGAUGGUUUCACAUCGUAACCCUUCCUGGCUGGGGAAAGACACCCCCCCC